UACGUAGGGUGCGAGCGUUAAUCGGAAUUACGGGGCGUAAAGCGUGCGCAGGCGGCCUUGCAAGACAGAUGUGAAAUCCCCGGGCUUAACCUGGGAACUGCAUUUGUGACUGCAUGGCUGGAGUGCGGCAGAGGGGGAUGGAAUUCCGCGUGUAGCAGUGAAAUGCGUAGAGAUGUGGAGGAAUACCGAUGGCGAAGGCAGCCCCCUGGGCCAAUACUGACGCUCAUGCACGAAAGCGUGGGGAGCAAACAGG
Molecule: ribosomal RNA, 253 nt
Filed under: uncultured bacterium
Lineage: Bacteria
Description: partial 16S ribosomal RNA
Rfam family: Bacterial small subunit ribosomal RNA
Source: RNAcentral